UACAGAGGGGGCAAGCGUUGUUCGGAAUUACUGGGCGUAAAGGGCGCGUAGGCGGCCUUCUAAGUCGAACGUGAAAUCCCCGGGCUCAACCCGGGAACUGCGUCCGAUACUGGAAGGCUUGAAUCCGGGAGAGGGAUGCGGAAUUCCAGGUGUAGCGGUGAAAUGCGUAGAUAUCUGGAGGAACACCGGUGGCGAAGGCGGCAUCCUGGACCGGCACUGACGCUGAUGAGCGAAAGCCAGGGGAGCAAACGGG
Molecule: ribosomal RNA, 253 nt
Filed under: uncultured bacterium
Lineage: Bacteria
Description: partial 16S ribosomal RNA
Rfam family: Bacterial small subunit ribosomal RNA
Source: RNAcentral